GACGAACGCUGGCGGCGUGCUUAACACAUGCAAGUCGAGCGGUAAGGCCCUUUCGGGGGUACACGAGCGGCGAACGGGUGAGUAACACGUGGGUGACCUGCCCUCAGCUCUGGGAUAAGCCUGGGGAACCGGGUCUAAUACUGGAUAUGACUCCAUGACGCAUGUUGUGGGGUGGAAAGCCUUGUGCGGCUGAGGAUGGGCCCGCGGCCUAUCAGCUUGUUGGUGGGGUGAGGCCUACCAAGGCGACGACGGGUAGCCGGCCUGAGAGGGCGACCGGCCACACUGGGACUGAGACACGGCCCAGACUCCUACGGGAGGCAGCAGUGGGGAAUCUUGCGCAAUGGGCGAAAGCCUGACGCAGCGACGCCGCGUGAGGGAUGACGGCCUCGG
This 390-nucleotide ribosomal RNA is filed under the name uncultured bacterium. Its description in RNAcentral is "bacterial SSU rRNA". It matches the Rfam family "Bacterial small subunit ribosomal RNA", at positions 28 to 420 of the family's 1533-position model. The record is from RNAcentral.